CCGGCGUAAAAUGUGGUUAACAUAUCAUUACACUAAAGCUAAACAUCUUCAAAGCUGUUAUACCCACACGAAGACAGGAAACCCUUCUACGAAAGUGGCUUUAAAUAAUGCUAACCCACGAAAACUAGGACA
RNAcentral lists this ribosomal RNA (132 nucleotides) under Luciogobius punctilineatus (dot-lined earthworm goby). Its description in RNAcentral is "partial 12S ribosomal RNA". The record is from RNAcentral. Lineage: Eukaryota; Metazoa; Chordata; Actinopteri; Gobiiformes; Gobiidae.